GAUGAACGCUGGCGGCGUGCCUAAUACAUGCAAGUCGAGCGAACGGACGAGAAGCUUGCUUCUCUGAUGUUAGCGGCGGACGGGUGAGUAACACGUGGAUAACCUACCUAUAAGACUGGGAUAACUUCGGGAAACCGGAGCUAAUACCGGAUAAUAUUUUGAACCGCAUGGUUCAAAAGUGAAAGACGGUCUUGCUGUCACUUAUAGAUGGAUCCGCGCUGCAUUAGCUAGUUGGUAAGGUAACGGCUUACCAAGGCAACGAUGCAUAGCCGACCUGUGAGGGUGAUAGGCCACACGGGAACUGAGACACGGUCCAGACUCCUACGGGAGGCAGCAGUAGGGAAUCUUCCGCAAUGGGCGAAAGCCUGACGGAGCAACGCCGCGUGAGUGAUGAAGGUCUUCGGAUCGUAAAACUCUGUUAUUAGGGAAGAACAUAUGUGUAAGUAACUGUGCACAUCUUGACGGUACCUAAUCAGAAAGCCACGGCUAACUACGUG
This 497-nucleotide ribosomal RNA is filed under the name uncultured bacterium. RNAcentral describes it as "partial 16S ribosomal RNA". It matches the Rfam family "Bacterial small subunit ribosomal RNA", at positions 28 to 507 of the family's 1533-position model. The record is from RNAcentral.